GUCCCCGUAGCCCAAUCGGCAGAGGCAGGCGACUUAAAAUCGCUGUUGUGCGAGUUCGAAUCUCGUCGGGGGCA
This 74-nucleotide transfer RNA is filed under the name Actinomycetes bacterium. RNAcentral describes it as "tRNA-Leu". It matches the Rfam family "tRNA". Rfam says of the family: Transfer RNA (tRNA) molecules are approximately 80 nucleotides in length. Their secondary structure includes four short double-helical elements and three loops (D, anti-codon, and T loops). Further hydrogen bonds mediate the characteristic L-shaped molecular structure. tRNAs have two regions of fundamental functional importance: the anti-codon, which is responsible for specific mRNA codon recognition, and the 3' end, to which the tRNAs corresponding amino acid is attached (by aminoacyl-tRNA synthetases). tRNAs cope with the degeneracy of the genetic code in two manners: having more than one tRNA (with a specific anti-codon) for a particular amino acid; and 'wobble' base-pairing, i.e. permitting non-standard base-pairing at the 3rd anti-codon position. The record is from RNAcentral. Lineage: Bacteria; Bacillati; Actinomycetota; Actinomycetes.